Molecule: long non-coding RNA, 219 nt
Filed under: Elaeis guineensis (African oil palm)
Lineage: Eukaryota; Viridiplantae; Streptophyta; Magnoliopsida; Arecales; Arecaceae
Description: long non-coding RNA (EGUI_LNC012007)
Source: RNAcentral
ACCAUGUUCGAAGAUUUGCCCGACUUGCGGCACCUCCAACUCGAUCAGAGGAUAGAAAGAUCAUCUAUAUUCAGAGCCACUCGUAAGUACUACAUGCUCAAUUAAUAAGUUUAGAAUUUAAUAAUUUUAGAGUUAACAUUUAUUCUUCAAAAUUAAUUUUGCAGCAUAUUCAGAGAGCCUUCUACAUCUCAUGUCGUUAUCAGAAUCAUAUGUCGAUUG